Molecule: ribosomal RNA, 725 nt
Filed under: uncultured bacterium
Lineage: Bacteria
Description: bacterial SSU rRNA
Rfam family: Bacterial small subunit ribosomal RNA
Source: RNAcentral
GUAUGCAACCUGUCCGUUACAGGGGGAUAGCCCAUGGACACGUGGAUUAACACUCCAUAAUAUAAUAUAGAGGCAUCUUUGUAUUAUUAAAUAUUCAUAGGUAACGGUUGGGCAUGCGUCCUAUUAGAUAGUUGGGGGGGUAACGGCCCACCAAGUCGAUGAUAGGUAGGGGUUCUGAGAGGAAGGUCCCCCACACUGGUACUGAGACACGGACCAGACUCCUACGGGAGGCAGCAGUGAGGAAUAUUGGUCAAUGGGCGAGAGCCUGAACCAGCCAAGUCGCGUGAGGGAUGACUGCCCUAUGGGUUGUAAACCUCUUUUGUAUGGGGGGAAUAAGCUUUACGAGUAGAGUGAUGACAGUACCAUACGAAUAAGCAUCGGCUAACUCCGUGCCAGCAGCCGCGGUAAUACGGAGGAUGCGAGCGUUAUCCGGAUUUAUUGGGUUUAAAGGGUGCGUAGGCGGCAUUAUAAGUUAGUGGUAAAAUAUUGGGGCUUCACCUCACUACGCCAUUAAUACUGUAGAGCUAGAGAACAGACGAGGUAGGCGGAAUAAGUUAAGUAGCGGUGAAAUGCAUAGAUAUAACUUAGAACACCGAUAGCGAAGGCAGCUUACCAGACUGAGUCUGACGCUGAUGCACGAGAGCAUGGGUAGCGAACAGGAUUAGAUACCCUGGUAGUCCAUGCCGUAAACGAUGCUCACUGGCCUUAGGCGAUAUACGGUCUGA